GAUAAACGCUGGCGGCGUGCCUAAAACAUGCAAGUCGAACGGAUGACUUCGGUCAUCAGUGGCGAACGGCUGAGUAACGCGUGGGUGACCUCGCUCCGAGUGGGGGAUAACUGCCCGAAA
RNAcentral lists this ribosomal RNA (120 nucleotides) under uncultured bacterium. RNAcentral's name for it is "partial 16S ribosomal RNA". It matches the Rfam family "Bacterial small subunit ribosomal RNA", at positions 28 to 156 of the family's 1533-position model. The record is from RNAcentral.